This 147-nucleotide non-coding RNA is filed under the name Nomascus leucogenys (northern white-cheeked gibbon). The record is from Rfam by way of RNAcentral. Lineage: Eukaryota; Metazoa; Chordata; Mammalia; Primates; Hylobatidae.
GCUGGGUGUGGUGGUGCAUGCCUGUAAUCCCAGCCACUGGGAGGCUGAGGCAGGAGAAUCACUUGAACCUGGGAGGCAGAGGUUGCAGUGAGCCAAGACUGCACCACUGCACUCUAGCCUGGGCAACAGAGCGAGAUUCUGUCUCAA